This 484-nucleotide ribosomal RNA is filed under the name uncultured bacterium. Its description in RNAcentral is "partial 16S ribosomal RNA". It matches the Rfam family "Bacterial small subunit ribosomal RNA", at positions 30 to 507 of the family's 1533-position model. The record is from RNAcentral.
AUUGAACGCUGGCGGCAGGCCUAACACAUGCAAGUCGAGCGGAUGAAGGGAGCUUGCUCCUGGAUUCAGCGGCGGACGGGUGAGUAAUGCCUAGGAAUCUGCCUGGUAGUGGGGGAUAACGUCCGGAAACGGGCGCUAAUACCGCAUACGUCCUGAGGGAGAAAGUGGGGGAUCUUCGGACCUCACGCUAUCAGACGAGCCUAGGUCGGAUUAGCUAGUUGGUGGGGUAAAGGCCUACCAAGGCGACGAUCCGUAACUGGUCUGAGAGGAUGAUCAGUCACACUGGAACUGAGACACGGUCCAGGCUCCUACGGGACGCAGCAGUGGGGAAUAUUGGACAAUGGGCGAGAGCCUGAUCCAGCCAUGCCGCGUGUGUGAAAAAGGUCUUCGGAUUGUAAAGCACUUUAAGUUGGGAGGAAGGGCAGUAAGUUAAUACCUUGCUGUUUUGACGUUACCAGCAGAAUAAGCACCGGCUAACUUCGUG